AGCUGCAGCCCCCAGCUGCAGCCACUGGCAACCUAAAGAACCACAGGCCUCCUGUGAGAGAGCAGAAUGGUGCAGGAGGCCAAGCCACAGAGCGUGGCUGGGGGACUGCAUGAGGCCAGCUCAGAGGGAGAGUAUUGGUGCCCUGGCACCUCCUCCACAUGGAACCAUGAGACAGGAGAAAGGCAUCCAGGGUUUUGAUCCACACUGUUGAGCAAUGGUGGGCUUGGUUAAUCUUUAAAAAGAAUCCUAAUAGAAGAGGACCAACAAUAAUUGCAUUAUGCUUCCGUGUGAAUAACUUCUUCAGAUUUGUUUGACAGAACAGAUUAGAGGAGCUCAAGGGAGCAGACAGAGAAAAAGCAUCUAAAGGAAACAAGCUCGGAAAGGCCAUCCCAUCGUAUUUUUAGAAGUACUCACAUGAACUCUAAACAACACCUUGAGAGUCAUGGCAAUGCCCCGGACGUUUUGUAUCUUCGCUGGGUGUGUGAUAUCUUCCUGCCUGCUGGCCCAGUGUCUGUUAAGGAAUUCUGCAGAUCCAGUGCCAGGCCGUGACAGGAGACUUGCUCUAAAACAAUCAUCAGCCAGGUGGAAACAACAUCAAAAAUAAUUCUGUUUGCUAAGAGCGUUGUUCACAGCACCUCACUCCAGAGCUCUUUUCCUCUGCAUCUUGGAGUUGUUUUCACAGAGCCCACUUGCUCACCUUAUACCCGACACCUCACAGGGCAUCAUGUCAGGUUGAGUGGUCUACCUGUAAGCCUUUCUAUGUUAGCAAGAACAUUUUAAAAAAAAACAAAAAAAUCCCUUUAUUGGUCUUUGAUUCUGUGCUCACCAAGUCUUUUAUCCCUCGAAGAAUUUACGUCUUGUAGAUCAAAUGUGAAGUGCAGGACAAAGGAAGACGUGUAUAUCAAGUAAGGAAACAUGCCGGACUCAGGUGCCACAGUGAGACCUUAUACAGCUGUAUAUACUUUUACCAUUUUCACAAAUCACAGGAAAUUUUAUCCUUAUAAAUGGAACUCCCAAGUCUUGUUUUUCUUUCACAACUGGAGGAAACUAGAAAAAGAAGGACUAUUUUUGCUUUGAGAUUGGAUUUAUUUUUGGCUUAUUUGUUGAUUUUGGGGCAUGUUACAAGCCCCUGUGGGGAGAGGAAAGUCCUGGAGUCAGCAGGACCAGGCUUUCCAUCCUGCCUCCGGCACCAACCAGGCGUGCACGGGGCGCCGCUUGACUUUCUGAUGGGCAGUUUCCUCAUCUGAAAAGCAGGGAGGAUAUCUACCUCCCAUGCUUGAUGUCUGCGUCCAGCACAUCCUGGGCAACAAGAAGCUUUAAAUCUGAAUUUAGGUUGCCUUUUUACAUACGUACCUGUAGGAAGAAAACGGACCCUGAGCCACUACACCAGAUUUUGUUUCUGCUGCUUCUUAGUUUUGAACAAGUUAACUCAGAAACAAAACCUUAGACCCAAAAGGAUUUUGAGGGAUUGUCCAGUCCAGCCCCCUUGACCUACAGAUGACAAACUGUGGUCCACAAAAACGAAGGGUUUUGUCUAAGACCAUGCAGCAAACAUUGACCAUAAACCAGGAGUCAUGGGGUGGCUGGGCCCAGGGUUUUCCAGCUUUACAGUCCUGCCUUUGGGAAAGGAACACAGCUUCAAUGGGAAGAUGUGUAUGGAUGUAGAUGUGUUAGGAUAUAAUCAUUUUUUGAGUGUUUACCUAAUUUGAUAUUCUGAGUGUCAGAAAAAGCUGGUUUAGAUCAAAAGAGGAAAACAGCAACUGUGACUAUUUCACCAGGAGAGAAUUACAAAGCAGAGAGCUUAGAGUUCAGAUAGAGCUCGGAAAACGGGGGCUUGGAGAAGAAUCUCAGCCUGUACUUACCCUGGACACACAGUGCUGGAGCUCCUGACUCCCCAUUUCUUCUCUCCGCAUCUUAGCUGCCUCACCUUGAUGGGAAACGGAAAGGCGCACAUACUAUAUGUUGUUGGAAAACUUCACAGUGGCCGGUACAGUGCUUAGUACCCCAUAAGGCUCUCUAGAUGCCUUCUAAAUUAUACGCCCAGUGAAAAACUGCUGCCCGAAUGUUCAGUACAGAGUGGGAUUUCCACACUGAACACACCUGUGUGAUCAGCACCCUGAUGCAGAAACAGAACAUUGGCAGCAUUCCAGGGCAUCCUGCCUGCCCUGCAGGGAGGAUUACCUCUAGCCUCACUCCCACAGCAUAGAUUAGCUUUCUUCUGGUUUUCUACUUUAGGUCCACAUGGAAUGAAACAGUACAUACUCAUUUAUGUCUGGCUUCUUUCGGGGGAAUAUUUUGAUGUCAGCUUAGAGUCACA
RNAcentral lists this long non-coding RNA (2317 nucleotides) under Equus caballus (horse). RNAcentral's name for it is "lncRNA (ENSECAG00000046262.1)". The record is from RNAcentral. Lineage: Eukaryota; Metazoa; Chordata; Mammalia; Perissodactyla; Equidae.